GAUGAACGCUGGCGGCGUGCCUAAUACAUGCAAGUCGAGCGAACAGAUGAGGAGCUUGCUCCUCUGACGUUAGCGGCGGACGGGUGAGUAACACGUGGAUAACCUACCUAUAAGACUGGGAUAACUUCGGGAAACCGGAGCUAAUACCGGAUAAUAUAUUGAACCGCAUGGUUCAAUAGUGAAAGACGGUUUUGCUGUCACUUAUAGAUGGAUCCGCGCCGCAUUAGCUAGUUGGUAAGGUAACGGCUUACCAAGGCAACGAUGCGUAGCCGACCUGAGAGGGUGAUCGGCCACAGUGGAACUGAGACACGGUCCAGACUCCUACGGGAGGCAGCAGUAGGGAAUCUUCCGCAAUGGGCGAAAGCCUGACGGAGCAACGCCGCGUGAGUGAUGAAGGUCUUCGGAUCGUAAAACUCUGUUAUUAGGGAAGAACAAAUGUGUAAGUAACUAUGCACGUCUUGACGGUACCUAAUCAGAAAGCCACGGCUAACUACGUG
This 497-nucleotide ribosomal RNA is filed under the name uncultured bacterium. RNAcentral describes it as "partial 16S ribosomal RNA". It matches the Rfam family "Bacterial small subunit ribosomal RNA", at positions 28 to 507 of the family's 1533-position model. The record is from RNAcentral.